RNAcentral lists this long non-coding RNA (2378 nucleotides) under Mus musculus (house mouse). Its description in RNAcentral is "long non-coding RNA chr11:85328991-85331369". Lineage: Eukaryota; Metazoa; Chordata; Mammalia; Rodentia; Muridae. The record is from RNAcentral.
GAGAUCAAACCCAGUCCUUGCACAUGUAGGCAAUCUCUGCCAUUUAAUUGUGCCACUGGUCUUUUCCUGUACAUGUUUAAUAUUGGAAGGCCUUUUGCUUUUUCAUUAUAUUAAGAAGAUUUUUUUUUCUUGAGUAUUUUCUUAUUUUUUUAACUUGAAUUUUUAAAGUUAUUUGAUUUGAUUUUUUUUUCUUUUUUCUUUGAUUUUUAAUCUCAUUAAAAAGAAAGAGUUUAUAGUUUUUGCCUUUUCACUUAAAAAUACCAUCUGGACAGUUGGAUACAUGCCUUUUGCCAUUUGGGAGCAGGUGUAUUUUUGCAAAAAUUGAGCCAUUUUAUGAUAAGUUAUUUCCUGUCUUCCCUCAGUCCCAGCCUAGGCUGUUGGCCAGCACUCUUGUUUUUGUAGCCUUCUGUUGAUGCGCAGUCAGCUCUCUGCAUGGCAGGCUGUUCCUCUCCAUUUGCCUUUUAAUACAGAGCAACAACAGAGUGUGCGGGAAAAGUAGUAUCUUGUAACAUUGCUUUGGUUUUAGACUUUUUCUUAAGCAAACAGUACCAUUAUUUGUCUUGUUUCUCAGACACACAAAGACCAUAAUAUCCUUGCCAAUAAAGUAUCAGGGGACCUCUCAGUACAUUUGUAUUGGGGACAGCUCCUGGAAUUGCUCUGUGCUGAGGCUCACCUGUCAUGUUAGAUGUUUAGAGAGAACACUUGGGCUUUAAGGCGGUUGGAAGACAGAAUGCUGGCAUUCAUCCUCAGUGCGAUCUCCUGUGUGACGAUGUUCUUGUGAGUGGCCAGUUUACUUCAUUCUACCCACUGAGCUUCAGCUUUGAAGAAAAGUAAGAAAGCAACCGCCGUUUGUCUUCCACCUCUCCUUGGUGUUAGAACUGAAAGAUGAACUUAGUCUCCAAAAGGAAGGUGAACAAGGGACUUUCUGCAACUCUGCUUUAUAUUGACAUUUUUGGAUACUCUGUUUUAAUGUGUUUCAGCUCAACUGUCACCGUAUCAGUGAUAACCACUGGCCACAUGUGACUGCUUAAGUUUAAUAAAAAUUAAGCCAUAGAACCAGUUCCCUUGUCCUACUCACAGUGUUUUCUAGCCCUGUGUUAACGGAGGACAGGGCAGAUUGACCAUUUCCUACAGCUGCUCGGCUCUCCUGGUGUGGCCUUUGAUUUUAUUGCGUUCUCUCUUUAGGUGAACUUGUCUACGGAUUCUCUCCCUGUCAGUCUUGUCUGGGAGUGUGUGUACCCGGCUAAGUGUGGAGGUCAGAGGACAACUAGGACAUUGCUCCCUGCCUUGUAACACAGGGUUUCUUUGCUGUUUUCCUGCUGAAUUCCCCAUGCUAGAUGACCAGAAAGCUUCCAAGGAUUCCCCCUUCUCUGUCUUCUAUCUCCCUGGAGGAGGAGUGCGGGGAUUACAGACGUCCCUGCAUUUAUGUCUGGCUUUACAUAAGUCCUGGAGGUCUCAGUUCAGGUGGACAGGUUUGCACCGUCAAAGGCCUCAGUGUAUCCAGCCAUCACUACUAUCCUGUCCUCGGGGAUAGGUUUUUGUUUUUUCUUUUAUUCUGCAGUACUGGGUAUUGAACCUAAGGGCUCAUGUAUGUUAGCCAAGUGCUCUACAACUGAGCUGUAUCCCUAAUCUAGUUUUCCAGGCUGUGAAGCCAGUUAAUGUUCAUUUUGUUUAGGGAGAUAGAGUCCUGCUGCUCACAUACAGUAAACUUAUAAGAAGGUGACACAUGUAGCAGUGUGUCAGAUUUCUUAUGAACAGUGAGACUAUCUGGCAAAUCUGUAUGUUGGGCUAGAGGCAAGUCAGGUGGGUGCCAUGCCCAAGGCUCAGUGUUCAGUUCCCAGCAAUGGGGACGGGAAAGGCUUCAUAUCAUCUGGUUUACAUAUCUUCUGUCUAUGUAUAGUUUUUUUUAUUACAUUUAUUUGUGUGUUUAGGCAUGCAUAAAGGUCAGAGAACACCUUGCAGAACCAGCUUUUUCCUUCUAAUAUGUGGACCCAGUGGAUUGAGCUUAAGUCUUCAGGCUUGGUGGCAAGCAGAAUAUCUUGCUGCUCCCUUUGGUUAUAGUUGAAGAUGGGGUUCUCAUUAUGUUGUCCAGGUGACCUGAAAUUUCAUGAUCCUCCCACCCAGGCACCCAUGUCACCACUCCUCGGGAACUGGUUGGUUCACCUGGUGGUUGAGAUGUCUCUGUCUUUGGCCUGGCCUUGCUGCCUUGUGUAGGCUGACCUCCAGGGAUCCUGCUGCCUGCCUCCCCAGCCUGCAUUCAUCUUAAGCACGUACCAGCAGCACCAGCAUGCCCAAAGAUCUCCUGUUUUCAUGGCAGGCACUUUACAGACUCAGCCAUCUCUCUAGCACCUCUAUUGACAUUAAAAAAAAAAACAAAC